UGGGGAAUAUUGCACAAUGGGCGCAAGCCUGAUGCAGCCAUGCCGCGUGUAUGAAGAAGGCCUUCGGGUUGUAAAGUACUUUCAGCGGGGAGGAAGGCGAUAAGGUUAAUAACCUUGUCGAUUGACGUUACCCGCAGAAGAAGCACCGGCUAACUCCGUGCCAGCAGCCGCGGUAAUACGGAGGGUGCAAGCGUUAAUCGGAAUUACUGGGCGUAAAGCGCACGCAGGCGGUCUGUCAAGUCGGAUGUGAAAUCCCAGGGCUCAACCUGGGAACUGCAUUCGAAACUGGCAGGCUAGAGUCUUGUAGAGGGGGGUAGAAUUCCAGGCGUAGCGGUGAAAUGCGUAGAGAUCUGGAGGAAUACCGGUGGCGAAGGCGGCCCCCUGGACAAAGACUGACGCUCAGGUGCGAAAGCGUGGGGAGCAAACA
This 427-nucleotide ribosomal RNA is filed under the name uncultured bacterium. RNAcentral's name for it is "partial 16S ribosomal RNA". It matches the Rfam family "Bacterial small subunit ribosomal RNA", at positions 355 to 774 of the family's 1533-position model. The record is from RNAcentral.